This 28-nucleotide small RNA is filed under the name Bombyx mori (domestic silkworm). RNAcentral's name for it is "ovarian small RNA-21319". The record is from RNAcentral. Lineage: Eukaryota; Metazoa; Arthropoda; Insecta; Lepidoptera; Bombycidae.
UACUAUCCCAAGAUGCCUGACGAAUAAC